Molecule: long non-coding RNA, 564 nt
Organism: Cucurbita maxima (winter squash)
Lineage: Eukaryota; Viridiplantae; Streptophyta; Magnoliopsida; Cucurbitales; Cucurbitaceae
Exons: 2
Source: RefSeq, a predicted model, not a curated record
GAGGGGCGUUGGCCACCCCGAGGACGGUGGAGUGAUGCUCAAUGGUGGCAAGCCGGUGGGGAUCCUCAAUGGGACUGUCUGUAGAUUGAUCCGAAAUAUUAGAAAUGCAGGCCAACCGAGCAUUGUGGCUCCAAGCAUGAGCUUCCACAAUGUUGCAAUGGAGGUCAUCCAGUGCAGCAGAUAUCUCGGAGAUGAGACCGGGCUGAACCCACUCUACAUGUACGAAUUAUCUACAGCAUUUUAGGAUGGAACCAUUUCAAGGGAUUCCAUUAAGGGGAAAAAAAAUCUACCAUUUAUAGGGAUUCUUCUGCUUUGUUCGUUCUCAACUCGGAAUAAUCUGCCAACUCGACUUUUUUUUUUUCUAAUUUAAAUUAUACGUUCAAUUAUAUGAUCAACAAUCUAGCACGCUAGACAGCCUAUUUACAUCCAAUAUUCAUAUCGAGAUAUCGAAUGAACAAUAUGCUUGGUUACUAACCGAGACAAAUGUCUCUUAAUUCAGCCAAUUAACAUGUGUAUUUAGUCGAUAUCGGUUACCUCAAUAAAGCCAUGAAUGGAAUUGAAUCA